GAUAAACGCCGGCGGCGUGCCUAAUACAUGCAAGUCGAGCGAACGGACGAGAAGCUUGCUUCUCUGAUGUUAGCGGCGGACGGGUGAGUAACACGUGGAUAACCUACCUAUAAGACUGGGAUAACUUCGGGAAACCGGAGCUAAUACCGGAUAAUAUUUUGAACCGCAUGGUUCAAAAGUGAAAGACGGUCUUGCUGUCACUUAUAGAUGGAUCCGCGCUGCAUUAGCUAGUUGGUAAGGUAACGGCUUACCAAGGCAACGAUGCAUAGCCGACCUGAGAGGGUGAUCGGCCACACUGGAACUGAGACACGGUCCAGACUCCUACGGGAGGCAGCAGUAGGGAAUCUUCCGCAAUGGGCGAAAGCCUGACGGAGCAACGCCGCGUGAGUGAUGAAGGUCUUCGGAUCGUAAAACUCUGUUAUUAGGGAAGAACAUAUGUGUAAGUAACUGUGCACAUCUUGACGGUACCUAAUCAGAAAGCCACGGCUAACUACGUGCCAGCAGCCGCGGUAAUACGUAGGUGGCAAGCGUUAUCCGGAAUUAUUGGGCGUAAAGCGCGCGUAGGCGGUUUUUUAAGUCUGAUGUGAAAGCCCACGGCUCAACCGUGGAGGGUCAUUGGAAACUGGAAAACUUGAGUGCAGAAGAGGAAAGUGGAAUUCCAUGUGUAGCGGUGAAAUGCGCAGAGAUAUGGAGGAACACCAGUGGCGAAGGCGACUUUCUGGUCUGUAACUGACGCUGAUGUGCGAAAGCGUGGGGAUCAAACAGGAUUAGAUACCCUGGUAGUCCACGCCGUAAACGAUGAGUGCUAAGUGUUAGGGGGUUUCCGCCCCUUAGUGCUGCAGCUAACGCAUUAAGCACUCCGCCUGGGGAGUACGACCGCAAGGUUGAAACUCAAAGGAAUUGACGGGGACCCGCACAAGCGGUGGAGCAUGUGGUUUAAUUCGAAGCAACGCGAAGAACCUUACCAAAUCUUGACAUCCUUUGACAACUCUAGAGAUAGAGCCUUCCCCUUCGGGGGACAAAGUGACAGGUGGUGCAUGGUUGUCGUCAGCUCGUGUCGUGAGAUGUUGGGUUAAGUCCCGCAACGAGCGCAACCCUUAAGCUUAGUUGCCAUCAUUAAGUUGGGCACUCUAAGUUGACUGCCGGUGGCAAACCGGGGGAAGGUGGGGAUGACGUCAAAUCAUCAUGCCCCUUAUGAUUUGGGCUACACACGUGCUACAAUGGACAAUACAAAGGGCAGCGAAACCGCGAGGUCAAGCAAAUCCCAUAAAGUUGUUCUCAGUUCGGAUUGUAGUCUGCAACUCGACUACAUGAAGCUGGAAUCGCUAGUAAUCGUAGAUCAGCAUGCUACGGUGAAUACGUUCCCGGGUCU
This 1372-nucleotide ribosomal RNA is filed under the name uncultured bacterium. Its description in RNAcentral is "bacterial SSU rRNA". It matches the Rfam family "Bacterial small subunit ribosomal RNA", at positions 28 to 1381 of the family's 1533-position model. The record is from RNAcentral.